Molecule: long non-coding RNA, 842 nt
Organism: Pan paniscus (pygmy chimpanzee)
Lineage: Eukaryota; Metazoa; Chordata; Mammalia; Primates; Hominidae
Source: Ensembl
AGGGGCAUUCCUUUAUUUUAUUUAAAAUUGGUUUGGGGCAUUAAAACUAAGUAGCCAACGAAAAGCAAGCCCGCAGACUCCCUACGUUUAUACCUGGAGCCCGAGGUGGGUGCUGGGCGACUGUGGUUUCCCAGGUGCGCAGACGCCCAUGUGCGCAAUCAGAGCGCCUAAGCCCCGCGCAGAUCCGGCACCCCCUUGGGGGGUGAUCCCCGCCAGGGCCUGGCUCUCUCGACCCCCAAACGCUGUCCCCAUCCUUCUCAUAAUGAUAACACCGAAAAUUCCACCACUGGAGCUUCCUCUCUGAGGCCUAAGGCUUUGAUUUCUGUUCCAUGCAAAUCUCCUCAGGCAGAGUCGGACUUCCCUGUGGCUGAGGGCUAUUUUGUGCGCAUGAAUAUGCAUAGAGACCUGUGAUGUCAGAAUGGGAACUAAGACCUAGAAAGUAAUCCCUGCUGCCCUUUCGCUGGCCCAGGAAGGGGUGAAUCACAGAUCAGUGUCAGAGGUGCGAUGAAAACCCAGGAGUUCUGAUUCCUGGGUCACCAUGCUCCCUUUGCCAAGGGUGGAGCCGACACCAACAGACUCUUAGCUGCUGUGCCCUGUGCAUCCUGGUGUUCGUGCACGUGCUGCACGGCCUGCAGACAGAUCAUCAGAAAAUUCAACUUUCAAGUGAGGAUCGUAAGCCAGAGAGUGCAGGACUCCACACCAGGGCAGAUGACCUGUGGAUUCCAGAAGCUCUCAGGAAUUUUGCAGAUUUCUCAAGGGCAACCCUGUCCAUAGAACGGGGAAAAGAACAAGCCCAUGCCUCCAAAGAGAAACUUCACAGUUCGCCUAAGUUUAACCUCUAG